AGUUUGAUCCUGGCUCAGGAUGAACGCUGGCGGCGUGCCUAAUACAUGCAAGUCGAGCGAACGGACGAGAAGCUUGCUUCUCUGAUGUUAGCGGCGGACGGGUGAGUAACACGUGGAUAACCUACCUAUAAGACUGGGAUAACUUCGGGAAACCGGAGCUAAUACCGGAUAAUAUUUUGAACCGCAUGRUUCAAAAGUGAAAGRCGGUCUUGCUGUCACUUAUAGAUGGAUCCGCGCUGCAUUAGCUAGUUGGUAAGGUAACGGCUUACCAAGGCAACGAUGCAUAGCCGACCUGAGAGGGUGAUCGGCCACACUGGAACUGAGACACGGUCCAGACUCCUACGGGAGGCAGCAGUAGGGAAUCUUCCGCAAUGGGCGAAAGCCUGACGGAGCAACGCCGCGUGAGUGAUGAAGGUCUUCGGAUCGUAAAACUCUGUUAUUAGGGAAGAAYAUAUGUGUAAGUAACUGUGCACAUCUUGACGGUACCUARUCAGAAAGCCACGGCUAACUACGUGCCAGCAGCCGCGGUAAUACGUAGGUGGCAAGCGUUAUCCGGAAUUAUUGGGCGUAAAGCGCGCGUAGGCGGUUUUUUAAGUCUGAUGUGAAAGCCCACGGCUCAACCGUGGAGGGUCAUUGGAAACUGGAAAACUUGAGUGCAGAAGAGGAAAGUGGAAUUCCAUGUGUAGCGGUGAAAUGCGCAGAGAUAUGGAGGAACACCAGUGGCGAAGGCGACUUUCUGGUCUGUAACUGACGCUGAUGUGCGAAAGCGUGGGGAUCAAACAGGAUUAGAUACCCUGGUAGUCC
Molecule: ribosomal RNA, 804 nt
Filed under: Staphylococcus aureus
Lineage: Bacteria; Bacillati; Bacillota; Bacilli; Caryophanales; Staphylococcaceae
Description: bacterial SSU rRNA
Rfam family: Bacterial small subunit ribosomal RNA
Source: RNAcentral